GACGAACGCUGGCGGCGUGCUUAACACAUGCAAGUCGAACGGAAAGGCCCUGCUUUUGUGGGGUGCUCGAGUGGCGAACGGGUGAGUAACACGUGAGUAACCUGCCCUUGACUUUGGGAUAACUUCAGGAAACUGUGGCUAAUACCGGAUAGGAGCUCCUGCUGCAUGGUGGGGGUUGGAAAGUUUCGGCGGUUGGGGAUGGACUCGCGGCUUAUCAGCUUGUUGGUGGGGUAGUGGCUUACCAAGGCUUUGACGGGUAGCCGGCCUGAGAGGGUGACCGGCCACAUUGGGACUGAGAUACGGCCCAGACUCCUACGGGAGGCAGCAGUGGGGAAGAUUGCACAAUGGGCGGAAGCCUGAUGCAGCAACGCCGCGUGCGGGAUGACGGCCUUCGGGUUGGAAACCGCUUUCGCCUGUGACGAAGCGUGAGUGACGGUAAUGGGUAAAGAAGCACCGGCUAACUACGUG
RNAcentral lists this ribosomal RNA (468 nucleotides) under uncultured bacterium. RNAcentral's name for it is "partial 16S ribosomal RNA". It matches the Rfam family "Bacterial small subunit ribosomal RNA", at positions 28 to 507 of the family's 1533-position model. The record is from RNAcentral.